AGACACUUAACCCCUAGUUGCUCCAGAGGUGUGCAACCUCUGACAUAUAUAUAGCAAUUUUAAGUCGCUUUGGAUAAAAAAAAAAUAAUAAAUGUAAUUAAUUUCCAUGACUUUAACAGUCUUAGAAAUCAAGCUUUUAAAAUUCUUUCAAGAAAUGUUUACAAAUACAUAGAAUAAAAUAUUAAAUAUGAUGUCAGUUUAUGACUUGUUAUUUAGCUUUUUUUUUUUACCCUAUUAAAGCAUAUUUUGUUUUAUUGUUAAUAGGCCCUGGCCCUCUGGUUGAGAAGCAAGCAGUUUUCUUUUCUGAGUUCGCCGAGGAGGUCUAUAUUUCCUGAAGAAAACUUGUUAGUAUUAGCAUUUAUCUCAAUGACAGCUGAACACAGUACACUUCGAAAGCUAUGCCAUUUAAAAUCUUUACUAAUGGAUGUUCGGUUUGAAGUUUCUGAUCCAAUCACUUAAGCUGUAAAUGUCAUGUGACUCAUUAUCUGGGAGCUGAAGAUGUCAUGACAACGCUGAUUGGCUGAUUGCACCAAAAGCAUUACAUAAUCCCUGCUAAUUGCUUAUUUGGACUAGCUAAAACAUAUUACACUGAAACAAACAUUCAGAACAAAUAAAACAAACCAGCCAAGAGAGGUAUUGAAGGUUUUAAUGUCAGUGUCUUCAUGUUUCAUAAGAGAUGCAGUAAUGAUUUCCUCUCACUCUCCUCCUGUCACGUAUUGCUAUGCAGAGCAUUUGGUUGCCUUGCUCAUCUUCACCGUCACCUCGGCCCAGAUAAACCAGCGGCUGAUCGAUUGAUCUCCGGGGGGGUCAGAGGAGGCUAUCUGCCUUCUUUAGCCAAUCGCUCUCUGGAGACGAGAGGAAUACACUCUCAACUUUGAUCAUCCCAUCACAGCACUUCUGCACGGUGACUCCUGCAAGAUUAGAUACCCCUUCCAUUUGCAUAAUUUAGUCAAACUAUUUGCAGAGCGAUCUUGUGGCAUAUGCUUCUAACAUACAGGCCCCCUAUCUGGCCCUGCUCCGAACCGCUCGCGUGCCUCUCUGAUGAAUGGGCUUUCAAAGCCGCGUGUUUAAAUUACCCCUCAAGAUGAGUUGUGCCGGCACGCUGGACACCGCGGAACUGAUAAAGAAGAUCGUCUGGCCCAUUACGUCAGGCCCAAAACACAAAGCCUUAAUCCCUAAUCUCAACAGUCUUUAAUCAGAGUCAGUUUCACGUCCAUGGCGCUGGUGUAUCGAUACUCAAGCUCAUGUGUGGUCAUGAAGAUCCUGUGUGACUGAGAUAGCAAAGGCCUUGAUUUCUAGGUUAUCCGAAAGCUGGAGGUUUUUAUCGUUUCUUUGAGGGAUUGAUUUAAAAUGUAUCCGCAGUUGACCAAGAAUUAGUGUCAAAGCAUUAAACGUUGACUGCCGAGGUUUUUGUCUUCAUGUAAGAGAGAUAUCUUGACUCUGCUCCAUAAAACGAUCUCGCCUGGGUCAUAUCCUGUGGUGAUUCGUUAGUUCAAGACAGACAUGCGGAGUAAAAGCGAAGAAGCAUGAAAUCCCAGGAUUCAUCACAGUGUCCGUCACUUUUUCUGUCUGUGUGUGUGAGUCGAGAGACGUUCCAUCACUGUUAGUCUAGACUGGAGUGUUUUGCAUUCUCAGCUCUAAUUCAAACCUGUGGUGUCUGCUGUUGGGAUCACAUCUGACACUCCUGCAACACGCCAGAUAACAAGAAUGUGAAAUCUUCGAUUCAGGGGUCAAAAAUGCAUCAUUUAAGACCUAAAUCUUUUGGUAAGAUCGUAAAAUCAACAAUGAGCAGUCGAAUUACAAGCCAUUGGGAUUCACUGAUGAAGAAAAGCAAACAUUUAUUUCUCAUUGCAUCUGUCAGAUAAGGGCAAAGUUCCAUAAUUUGUGGGUUAAUAAGGAAACUAACAGAAAGGUUGCUCUGUGGCAUUCUUUACAUGUGUAACCACAUAAAUGGGGCACUUCUGGCUCAAGUGCGAGCCGUGCCUAUGCACAGUAAACCUAUGAACCUGCUAUCAGCUGCACAUUCCUGUCAGUAGUAACGGAGAGAUGAGUACAAUCACUAUGGCUGCACAAGAAUGAAAAACAAGCUUGUUCAGCUAUGUAGAAAUUCACUUUUGAAGGUCAAACAUUUUUUUCUUUCUUCCUUUUCUUUCUGUCGUUUUUUUUUUUAAUUAGACAGAGAAGAAAAAUGUCUCUGAAUGUUUUGAAGAAGUGCUAUUAGAGGGUCCCUAGUGGUCUCGCCUGAAGAAAUUCUGUGAAAAUCAUUUCAAGCCUCUUCCUGGGACUAAUAGAAGAACUUCCAAGCAGUCUGUAGGGACCAUUCAUAGACGUCAUUUUCACUUUUGUUUGUGAAAUGUUAUAUACAACUGUUUAUUUGAACCUUUUUUUUUUAGCUACUGCAACUCUUACUGAGUGAGAGUUUAGGACCAGCUGAUUUGUUUUAAAAGUUUAGUAUUCUACUACACCUAAAAAGAAAACUAAACCAAACCAAACAAAAACAAUCUGGCACGGUUUACAUGUAUGCCUAACACUAGUUUCCUGUCGCAGAAGUGCACAGACUGCUUGGAUUUUGCCAAAAAAAUGUAUAUGUUCACAUGCCGUACCAUUCAAAAGUUGUUUUUAUGUUUUAUGCCCACCAAAGCUGAAUUUCUUUGAUCAAAAAUGCAGUAAAAAUUGUUGUAAAAAUAUUGUCACUUUAGAUCAAUUUAAUGUCAUUGGUUUAUAAAAGCAUUAUUAAUUUUUUUCAUAAAUAUUUGAAUGGUAGUAUGUAUUUUCAUUCAUUUCUUAAAAAAAAUAAAGCAUAUGAUGUGUUCUGAAAUGUUUUCAAUGGAAAAACUCCUGUUACAUAAAAUGCACUGUCCAUGACGAUAUGUAAGAAAGAGCUUGCUAUCACUUCUGAUCUCAGCUUCAUUUAUCCCAAACUGAAGAGAAAGUAUUUGCUUGCUCAACUAAGUGCUCUGAGAGCAAUUGUGCUCCUAAGGUAGAGGUUAAAAGAACUGAACUUGUGCCAGGGCUGCUAACAUAUGCUGGCAAUCUGAGCCCUACUCUAUUAGAGUGACAUUCUGAACAAGGUUAGAUUCAAACAAACAUUUAAUGGAGCAAACUUGGCCGGUGUGAACAUACCAAUAUAGGUUUCAUUUAUAUCAGAGAAACGACAAGCCUACAGUGAGAAAUAGUGCCAAACAAUUGGAAAGUCUUUAUUAACAUAUAAACUUCUCGAGCGCUACACGUGCUCGCAGAUCUGGAGUCUGGAAACCAUUUCUGGCCUCUAUCUUCAGAUAACAAUGUAAGUACUACCCUUCUGACACUUCCCAGAGAGCAGGUUUCCCCCGAACCACACAAAGCCUCCAUUCACAGCUGGAAUGAAAAUACAGAUUCUGAGCAGAUGCCAUCACCACCGGUUAGAGGACUAAAGAGCGCUCGCUGUCGUCUGGUUUGGUAAGGAAAAUCCCUGAAGACUGUCUCAAUGCUGAUUGGCAUAUUUGUAAGGCCGGUUGCAUGAUAAUUGCUCAAGUCUGAUUGAUUUCAACGGAUUAUUUUGGAUACGGCAUGCCCGUCUUCAUGGUAAUUUUGAAAUGGGGAGUUUAGAUUUCCAAGAGAGGGAAACUCACAUCUCCUCAUUGAUAUUGCAGAAAUGCAUCCAUUGACACUCAUAGCAACCACUAGUGGCCCAUGGUCAGGAUUUGUCCCGUAUUAGUGAUGUCACACAGACAGUUGCCCGCUGUCCGAGGCCAAGGUAAACAGUGAGUAACCAAAGGUGAACAUGUCACUGGUGGACAACAAACCCCAGCUCAAUUGGAGAACCCCUGAUGGAUUGCCCAUAAUGCACUGCAUCUGGGAGCAA
RNAcentral lists this long non-coding RNA (3844 nucleotides) under Carassius auratus (goldfish). RNAcentral's name for it is "lncRNA (ENSCARG00000015231.1)". The record is from RNAcentral. Lineage: Eukaryota; Metazoa; Chordata; Actinopteri; Cypriniformes; Cyprinidae.